UACACGCUGUGACUAGCAUAUCAAUAAGCGGAGGAAAAGAAACUAACAAGGAUUCCCCUAGUAACGGCGAGUGAAGCGGGAAGAGCUCAAAUUUGAAAUCUUAAAGGGUUUCCCUUUACGAAUUGUAGUUUAAAGAAGUGUUUUCUGUUGAGGUUUUGGUAAAAGUUCUUUGGAAUAGGACAUCAUAGAGGGUGAGAAUCCCGUAUUUGACCUUUACUUUCAACUUUGUGAUACACUUUCAAAGAGUCGGAUUGUUUGGGAAUGCAGUCCAAAAUGGGUGGUAAAUUUCAUCUAAAGCUAAAUAUUGGCGAGAGACCGAUAGCGAACAAGUACCGUGAGGGAAAGAUGAAAAGAACUUUAAAAAGAGAGUUAAACAGUACGUGAAAUUGUCAAAAGGGAAGCGUUUGACACCAGUGUUGUUUUUCUGAAAAUCAAUUAAAGAACUGUUUAUGCUAAGUUGUUUAGACUUUAUCAGCUAACUGUUUAGUUUUGAGCUUUUCUUUAAUGCACUUUUCAGUUAACAAGUCAACAUCAAUUUCUUUUGCUGUAAAAAAGCUUGAGGAAGGUGGCUUGAGAUUCGUCUUAAGUGUUUAUAGCCUCUUGCCUAUGCAGUCGGAGAGAUUGAGGUCUGCAGCGUAGAUCCUUCGGGGCUAAAUGCAUUUGUGCUAAGUUAUAGCAUUUUAUAGACAACUUGUUGACUAUGAUUUGUCUUGUAGCUUACUCGCUUAUGUUAUUUUACCUACGCUUAGGAUGUUGAAGUCAUCGUAUCGCGC
Molecule: ribosomal RNA, 773 nt
Filed under: uncultured Neocallimastigales
Lineage: Eukaryota; Fungi; Neocallimastigomycota; Neocallimastigomycetes; Neocallimastigales
Description: partial large subunit ribosomal RNA
Rfam family: Eukaryotic large subunit ribosomal RNA
Source: RNAcentral